Molecule: ribosomal RNA, 41 nt
Filed under: uncultured fungus
Lineage: Eukaryota; Fungi
Description: partial 18S ribosomal RNA
Source: RNAcentral
AGUAGGUGAACUGCGGAAGGAUCAUUAUUGAAUUCAAAUGC